AUUGAACGCUGGCGGCAGGCCUAACACAUGCAAGUCGAGCGGAUGAAGGGAGCUUGCUCCUGGAUUCAGCGGCGGACGGGUGAGUAAUGCCUAGGAAUCUGCCUGGUAGUGGGGGAUAACGUCCGGGAACGGGCGCUAAUACCGCAUACGUCCUGAUGGAGAAAGUGGGGGAUCUUCGGACCUCACGCUAUCAGAUGAGCCUAGGUCGGAUUAGCUAGUUGGUGGGGUAAAGGCCUACCAAGGCGACGAUCCGUAACUGGUCUGAGAGGAUGAUCAGUCACACUGGAACUGAGACGCGGUCCAGACUCCUACGGGAGGCAGCAGUGGGGAAUAUUGGACAAUGGGCGAAAGCCUGAUCCAGCCAUGCCGCGUGUGUGAAGAAGGUCUUCGGAUUGUAAAGCACUUUAAGUUGGGAGGAAGGGAAGUAAGUUAAUACCUUGCUGUUUUGACGUUACCAACAGAAUAAGCACCGGCUAACUUCGUG
RNAcentral lists this ribosomal RNA (484 nucleotides) under uncultured bacterium. RNAcentral describes it as "partial 16S ribosomal RNA". It matches the Rfam family "Bacterial small subunit ribosomal RNA", at positions 30 to 507 of the family's 1533-position model. The record is from RNAcentral.